UAGCCAAAUUCAAGGUUCUUCUUAUUCACCAAUAAAAAAUUCAAAGGUUCUUGUUAAAGAAAAUGGCAAGCAGCAGCAUCAAGUUCGUGAUAUUUACAUUAGUAUUUAUGUGCAUUGCUUCGUCGAUGCUUCAUGCAGAUGGAGUAUCCUAUCCACACCCUCGAUAUUGCUUUCGUUUAGACAAACGUUUAUGUGUUCAGAGUGCAUGCCACUAUUUCUGCAUAUACAACGAUUUCCCUCUAGGUGGAAGUUGUGUACCAAUGACGAGUUUGUGUUGUUGCAUUAGAAGUCAAUGAAACGUGGUUUUAUUAAUGACCAUUUUUAUAUCCCUUAUGCAAUAAUUUGUAAAAUGGUCAUUUGAUCUUUAUCAAUAAUAGUUUUCAUUAUUUUAAUUUUCUGUUAAAUUUAUAUAUGAAUGUUGAGGUGUUUGAGAGAAUAUCCUGCUCUAAAUCUUGUGGUAGUAUGUUUUUGUGUUUUGGUGACUUCUUUAAUUAAGAUCUAUUCUUGUAUCUCUUUUUUAGUGUA
Lathyrus oleraceus (garden pea) is the source of this 525-nucleotide long non-coding RNA. RefSeq lists it as uncharacterized. NCBI's taxonomy places the organism in Eukaryota, Viridiplantae, Streptophyta, Magnoliopsida, Fabales, Fabaceae. The record is from RefSeq and is a predicted model, not a curated record. The transcript is spliced from 2 exons.